Molecule: ribosomal RNA, 484 nt
Filed under: uncultured bacterium
Lineage: Bacteria
Description: partial 16S ribosomal RNA
Rfam family: Bacterial small subunit ribosomal RNA
Source: RNAcentral
AUUGAACGCUGGCGGCAGGCCUAACACAUGCAAGUCGAGCGGAUGAAGGGAGCUUGCUCCUGGAUUCAGCGGCGGACGGGUGAGUAAUGCCUAGGAAUCUGCCUGGUAGUGGGGGAUAACGUCCGGAAACGGGCGCUAAUACCGCAUACGUCCUGAGGGAGAAAGUGGGGGAUCUUCGGACCUCACGCUAUCAGAUGAGCCUAGGUCGGAUUAGCUAGUUGGUGGGGUAAAGGCCUACCAAGGCGACGAUCCGUAACUGGUCUGAGAGGAUGAUCAGUCACACUGGAACGGAGACACGGUCCAGACUACUACGGGAGGCAGCAGUGGGGAAUAUUAGACAAUGGGCGAAAGCCUGAUCCAGCCAUGCCGCGUGUGUGAAGAAGGUCUUCGGAUUGUAAAGCACUUUAAGUUGGGAGGAAGGGCAGUAAGUUAAUACCUUGCUGUUUUGACGUUACCAACAGAAUAAGCACCGGCUAACUUCGUG